Molecule: unclassified non-coding RNA, 90 nt
Filed under: Pseudomonas sp. A214
Lineage: Bacteria; Pseudomonadati; Pseudomonadota; Gammaproteobacteria; Pseudomonadales; Pseudomonadaceae
Source: RNAcentral
UGUGGGAGCGAGCUUGCUCGCGAUAGCGGUAUGUCUGUAGAUACAUGUGUUGACUGACCCGGCGCCAUCGCGAGCAAGCUCGCUCCCACA